GUCCUCGCUUCGGCAGCACAUAUACUAAAAUUGGAAGGAUACAAAGAUUAGCAUGGCCCCUGCACAAGGAUGACACACAAAUUCGUGAAGCAUUCCAUAUUUUA
RNAcentral lists this small nuclear RNA (104 nucleotides) under Echinops telfairi (small Madagascar hedgehog). Lineage: Eukaryota; Metazoa; Chordata; Mammalia; Afrosoricida; Tenrecidae. The record is from RNAcentral.